Molecule: long non-coding RNA, 984 nt
Filed under: Physcomitrium patens
Lineage: Eukaryota; Viridiplantae; Streptophyta; Bryopsida; Funariales; Funariaceae
Description: long non-coding RNA (PPAT_LNC003568)
Source: RNAcentral
UCAGGCACCUAGUUAUGGAUUAUAAAAAGGGAAAUUGCAACAGCAAGCCCUAAUAAUUCUAAUAGAUUUUAAAACAAAUUACAAUUAAAGAUUAGCAAAUAUAAUCAAACAUCAAUCAAAUUCAAUUAAAAUUUCAAACAAAUUAUGUAAGAACCACAAAGUAUUCCUAUAAAUCUUUUAAAGAAUCAUAAAGAAAUAACAUAGAAAUUCAAAAAAAAUAUACUAAAAUAGAAACCUUAAUUAAAUCUUAGUCAAAAUCUAGUCAAAUCUAAUUCUAAAAAAAUCUAAUCAAAUCUAAUCAAAUUCUAAAAAGAUCCUAAAUAUAUCUUAAAUAAUCCUAAUCAAAUCCUAAAUAAAUCCUAACUAAAUCCUAACAAAUUCUAAUCAAACAAUAAAUAAAUCCUAACCAAAUUCUAAACAAAUCCUAAACAAAUCCUAAUCAAACUCUAAACAAAUCCUAAACAAAUCCUAACCAAUUCCUAAACAAAUCUUAAUCAAAUCCUAAAUAAAUCUUAAACAAAUCCUAAAUAAAUCCUAACCAAAUCCUAAAUAAACCUUAAUCAAAUCCUAACCAAAUUCUAAAUAAAUCCUAAAUAAAUCCUAAAUAAUUUUUAAAUAAAUAUUAAUUAAAUAUUAAUUAAAAUUUAAACAAAUUCUAAAUAAAUCUUAACCAAAUCCUAAUCAAAUUCUAAACAAAUCCUAAAAAAAUCUUAACCAAAUUCUAGUCAAAUCCUAAAUAAAUCCUAAACAAACCUUAACCAAAUGCUCAAUAAAUCCUAGUCAAAUAUUAAACAAAUCCUAAUCAAACCCUAGUCAAAUCCUAAUAAAUCUUAGCCAAAUUCUAAUCAAACUUUAAACAAAUCCUAACCAAAUCCUAAUCAAAUUUUUAAAAAAUCCUAAUCAAAUCCUAAUCAAACUUUAAACAAAUCCUAACCAAAUCCUAAUCAAAUCCUAAAUAAAAUCUAAUCAAAUCCUAGUCAAAUC